This 505-nucleotide ribosomal RNA is filed under the name Petrodictyon sp. RNAcentral describes it as "eukaryotic LSU rRNA". It matches the Rfam family "Eukaryotic large subunit ribosomal RNA", at positions 43 to 565 of the family's 3401-position model. Lineage: Eukaryota; Bacillariophyta; Bacillariophyceae; Surirellales; Surirellaceae. The record is from RNAcentral.
UUAGUAAGUGGAGGAAAAGAAACAAAAUUGUAUUGACACAGUAAUGGCGAAUGAACUGUCAAUAGUCCAAACUCCAAAUCAUCAUUUUUGUUGAAUUGUGGUAUACAGUCCUUCCUGCUACAGUGGUUGUAGAGUCUUUUGGAAAUGAGCAGUUUGUUGGGUGAAACUCCCAUUAGCAACCUACUAUUCAUACAGGGAGGAACUAUAGAGUCGAGAUGUUUGGGAUUACACCUCAAAUGGAUGGUGAAUUCUAUCCAAGACUAAAUAUUUGUGAGAGGCCAAUAGAGCACAAGUACCGUGAGGGAAAGAUGCAAAGUCAUGCGAAAGCACAGUCAAAAAGUUCCUGAACAUACCAUAGUGAAAACAAAGAAUUAGCUAACAUUCCAUGUUGUCAUGCUACAGUGCUUCUGCAAUGUAACCAUUUCACAUGAACUACCUGUGUAUAUUGAUGUAAUGUGAACUUGUUUAUCUGCCGUUGAUAUACACAGAGCCAAUUUUUUCCCCG